Molecule: ribosomal RNA, 258 nt
Filed under: uncultured bacterium
Lineage: Bacteria
Description: partial 16S ribosomal RNA
Rfam family: Bacterial small subunit ribosomal RNA
Source: RNAcentral
UACGUAGGGUGCAAGCGUUAUCCGGAAUUAUUGGGCGUAAAGAGCUCGUAGGCGGUUUUGUCGCGUCUGCUGUGAAAAACUGGGGGCUCAACCCCCCAGCCUGCAGUGGGUACGGGCAGACUAGAGUGCGGUAGGGGGUGACUGGAAUUCCUGGUGUAGCGGUGGAAUGCGCAGAUAUCAGGAGGAACACCGGUGGCGAAGGCGGGUCUCUGGGCCGAUACUGACGCUGAGGAGCGAAAGCGUGGGGGAGCGAACAGG